CGAAGGAUGCAAGCGUUAUCCGGAUUCAUUGGGUUUAAAGGGAGCGUAGGCGGACUUAUAAGUCAGUGGUGAAAUCUCUGGGCUUAACCCAGAAACUGCCAUUGAUACUGUAGGUCUAGAGUACAUUUGCUGUGGGCGGAAUAUGACAUGUAGUGGUGAAAUACUUAGAUAUGUCAUAGAACACCGAUUGUGAAGGCAGCUCACAAAAAUGUAACUGACGCUGAGGCUCGAAAGUGCGGGGAUCAAACAGGAUUAGAUACCCUGGUAGUCCGCACUGUAAACGAUGAUUACUCGCUGCUUGAGGGCAACCUUGAGUGGCUUAGCGAAAGCGAUAAGUAAUCCACCUGGGGAGUACGCCGGCAACGGUG
RNAcentral lists this ribosomal RNA (368 nucleotides) under uncultured organism. Its description in RNAcentral is "bacterial SSU rRNA". It matches the Rfam family "Bacterial small subunit ribosomal RNA", at positions 526 to 896 of the family's 1533-position model. The record is from RNAcentral.